Molecule: ribosomal RNA, 207 nt
Filed under: uncultured bacterium
Lineage: Bacteria
Description: partial 16S ribosomal RNA
Rfam family: Bacterial small subunit ribosomal RNA
Source: RNAcentral
UGUGUAGGGGGUCGGGUAAGUUUGACGUGAAAGCCCGCUGCUUAACAGCGGAACGGCGUCGAAUACUGCCCGGCUGGAGGUUCGGAGAUGAGAGCGGAAUUCUCGGUGUAGCGGUGAAAUGCGUAGAUAUCGAGAGGAACGCCGAAGGCGAAAGCAGCUCUCAAGACGACACCUGACCCUGAGACACGAAGGCCAGGGGAGCAAACG